GAUGAACGCUGGCGGCGUGCCUAAUACAUGCGAGUCGAGCGAACAGACCAGCAGUUCGUUCCUCUGACGUUAGCGGCGGACGGCUGAGUAACACGUGAAUAACCUACCUAUAAGACUGAGAUAACUUCGGGAAACCGGAGCUAAUACCGGAUAAUAUAUUGAACCGCAUGGUUCAAUAGUGAGUGACGGUUUUGCUGUCACUUAUAGAUGGUUCCGCGCCGCAUUAUCUAGUUGGUAAGGUAACGGUUUACCAAGGCAACGAUGCGUAGCCGUCCUGAGAGGGUGAUCGGCCACACUGGAACUGAGACACGGUCAAGACUCCGACGGGAGGCAGCAGUAGGGAAUCUUCCGCAAUGGGCGAAAGCCUGACGGAGCAACGCCGCGUGAGUGAUGAAGGUCUUCGGAUCGUAAUACUCUGUUAUUAGGGAAGAACAAAUGUGUAAGUAACUAUGCACGUCUUGACGGUACCUAAUCAGAAAGCCACGGCUAACUACGUG
This 497-nucleotide ribosomal RNA is filed under the name uncultured bacterium. Its description in RNAcentral is "partial 16S ribosomal RNA". It matches the Rfam family "Bacterial small subunit ribosomal RNA", at positions 28 to 507 of the family's 1533-position model. The record is from RNAcentral.